This 104-nucleotide transfer RNA is filed under the name Halomicrobium mukohataei DSM 12286. It matches the Rfam family "tRNA". From Rfam's summary of the family: Transfer RNA (tRNA) molecules are approximately 80 nucleotides in length. The record is from Rfam by way of RNAcentral. Lineage: Archaea; Methanobacteriati; Methanobacteriota; Halobacteria; Halobacteriales; Haloarculaceae.
GGGCACGUAGCUCAGUCCGGAUAGAGCGUCGGACUUCUAACGCCGUCACGGCCGUGACGGUGGAAGCGAUCCGACGGUCGUGGGUUCGAAUCCCACCGUGCCCG